RNAcentral lists this small RNA (81 nucleotides) under Flavobacterium flevense. RNAcentral describes it as "Flavo-1 RNA". It matches the Rfam family "Flavo-1 RNA". Lineage: Bacteria; Pseudomonadati; Bacteroidota; Flavobacteriia; Flavobacteriales; Flavobacteriaceae. The record is from RNAcentral.
GGUUUGCGUGAAGGAUGGCAGUGGAAAUCCUUUUAUGGAGCGCAGCGGAAUAAAAGAUUGUAACGAACAGCCUGACCCGGA